GGGGUUGUUUUUUUCCCCUGCAACAAGUAAAAAUGGCGACAUCCUCAGGAGCUGACAUAAUAGGGAAGACGCGAACAAAGAGAAGUAUGCGGAAGAAUGCAAGGUAAGAUACCAUUUUGUUGGUCCUUUUAAUUCCUAGAUCCAAAGACAUUAGAAUAGUACAUUUUCUUCAUCCAAACUAAUGAACAUC
Molecule: long non-coding RNA, 190 nt
Filed under: Salmo trutta (river trout)
Lineage: Eukaryota; Metazoa; Chordata; Actinopteri; Salmoniformes; Salmonidae
Description: lncRNA (ENSSTUG00000006180.1)
Source: RNAcentral